CAUCAUAUUUGGUAAUUUCUUGUAUUUAUUUUUCAAGGGCUGUGAGCAAUUCAGACUAUCAUAAUAGAAGUAUUCAAUAAUUAGGAAGUGUUACAAGGAGGCCAGUUUUGCAAGCUCCAAUCAAAUGUCGACUAUGCGAUAAAUUUUUUUUGAUAUCCCAAGCCUCCUACUCCUCUUUGAAUCCAUGGGGAAAAGGAGCAUUUUAGAUUAUUAUUUAGCA
RNAcentral lists this long non-coding RNA (220 nucleotides) under Olea europaea (common olive). RNAcentral describes it as "long non-coding RNA (OEUR_LNC015232)". The record is from RNAcentral. Lineage: Eukaryota; Viridiplantae; Streptophyta; Magnoliopsida; Lamiales; Oleaceae.